AGGCAAUCGCUGGUGUCAAAUCCUAAAUUAAAAUAAUCUUGGGAAUGUAUUUUGCAAGAUAAUGCUGAUGAAAGUGAGAAUCUGAACUCCAACUAAAACAAAAAUCAUUAGCUUUGCUGCAGCGUUUACGAUAAAUAAGCACACUGCAUAUAAACUGCCCUGUUACACUUUUAGUCAAGUAAUGAACAGUUUGUUUCCAGGUUCAGUGCCAUGGUCUCUUUGCACUUGUUGAACAAUUUUUCUCCCAAGUCUUCGUCUUGUCAGUCUGCACAUUUCUGAUCUUGAAAGAGGUGAGCGGUGAGGCUGCGGCUUUGCAUACAGCCUCUGCUCUGCUGGGCAGUUCCAUCAUCCAUCAUCAAAUAUACUCCUGCCUAUUAAAAGGAAGAUCUGAUGUGAAUAGGUGAUGAGACCGGCUGUGUUACCCUUACAUGCCUUCCCAGCAUGGUGGGAGAAGAGCAGGACCCAGGCAGGAGCGUGUUGCUGUUGGGAGUUCCCACAGAUGCCAGUGCCAGCUUGGGAAGCUCAUAUGCCCCUGUCCCCAGCGCCACUCCGUAAGAUGCACCAGGACAGCUGUUCGCAGGGCGACUGGAGAAACCAAGAACAGAACCAGGAAGAAUCCCUCCUUUUUAAGUAAUGGAACUUCAGUAGACCUGCAGUGGCUGGCUGGUUUGACGACACUUACCCUGAAGUGGUACCAUAAGGGGCACUCAGCUGAAAGCAGAGAGGUAAUCAGAACAUCCCUAGAUGGAGAGGCUUCAGCUGCUUUAUGCCAUGGUCAAACUGUACUCUUUGGACUACUAGAAAGAAUGAUAUUCAGGUUACGAUGGAGCAAAUUCCUUUGGUGAGUGGAAAAAUGCUUUUUAAAUUUGCAUUCAUUAUUGCUCACGUGUCAGAACUCAGAGAGGUUUUGCUGGAUUUAAAGGUAGGGGAGACCUGCAUGCAGAUUUCUUCCCCAACUUUAAUGUACCUAUGAGCACAGUCAAGUUGACCUUUCCCUACGGCUUUGGUUUUGCUAACAGACAAAGCAACAGAAAUGCAGUAAUGCUUAUGUUGAAAUUUCAGCCGUGGCUGUGCUUGUUUUUCCUCCUAGGACUGCUCAGUUCCAUUCUGCUUAAAUCAGGGAUGUGUCCUCAGACAGUGGAAGUGAAAAAAUCUUUUCCAGCCACUGAAAGAAUAGACUAUCUGAGACGUCCUUAGCAGCCUGUCAAGGCUGCGUAUGGAAGAUAGGGAAAACAUUCAGCCUAUAUACAAAAACUAAUGUAUGGAACAUUUAACAAGACAGAAAGUCUAGAUAUAAUGUAUGCAGGGAGCUGCAAAGGUCAAACACUGAAUAGAUGCAUAAAGACGGCUUCUGAAAGAGAGAGAAGAUAAAAAUUUACACGUCCUGUAAAUAAUCCUGAAAUAAUUCAAAGCCAAUCUGAAAUGCAAGAACAACCUGGAAGGCAGAUAAGGGCCUUACAUACUGAAAUAUGUAAUGAAUCACAGUUCUCUAAAUGACCAGACAGAGCUGGUAUGGUGACCAGUGAGCUCCCCGUUCAGUGUGUGAUGGAUAUGAACAUGUUUACCUCGCUGUUGUUAGAGCUGGAAGGUUAGCAGUGUGUCUGGGCUUCCCAGGAGGCUUGGCAGAACCGAUGAGAUGGUUAGACUACUUCAGUGGGUGAUUGAGAGUACCUCUAGCCAUUGUUUUAAGAUACUGAAUACAAUUUUCAAAUUUUCAAAAUACUACGUAAGCAAGGGUUAAUAUUUUAAAAAAUUGUUAUAUUCUGUUUGCAAGUUGGUAAUUCAAAAGGUAAUGUAAAGGUGCACAGAUACAGAAAAGUUCCCAGCUGCUAUUAAAAUGUUGCUGGAUGUCUAUUGACUUUAAUUGGUAAUGUAAGCAUUUUUUAAUGCUGUUGUUACUGUAUGCAUCCAGCAUUUCUGUUUUAACUUUGUGAUUCAGUUACCAUUAACAUUUAAUCACUCAAUAGAUGUGUUAACAACCAAGCCCUAAAAAAACCACCCUGCUUAGUGUUGGAAGCUGCUAAUUCUAUUCAGCUGAUACUAGUUUCAGUACCAGUCAGAGAUGCUCAACUCUUAACACUCAUUAUUUCCCAUGCCUAAGAAUCCAGAAACCUUAUUAGUGUUGAGUUUCAAAAAAGUGUGCCUGAUUUUGACAGCUGUCCCAUGGCAUUUCAGAGAUGUAGGGAAUUACCGGUCACUGAUGCAAAUCAGCCCUUUUCCUGGGAGAGGGAUCAGAAGCUUUGGGUGAAGUGCAUCCCUUGUGAGAUGAGCUUUCUAAAACCUCCCCCUGUGCACUACCACGUUUUGGAAAAGUAGGACUAUGUGCUGUACUUGUAAAGAUUGCUAACUGUGUUCUUUCUUGUACAAAAGACUUUAUAUUUGAUACUCUUCAGUCAUUUUUCUGGUUGAAAAUCAGAAGCUUUCUGGUCACAGCAUAUUUAUUUUACAUUAUCAGAGUUUACCCUUGCAAGAGGCUUGGACAAUGUUAUUUUUAGAGGCUGAAGCGUCUGUGUUGUUUGCCACAACCCUUGGACUUUGGCAGGGAAGAAAAUCUCCAGAACCAGAGAAAAGCAUGUAUUAUUAUUAUUUUGUGAAAUUCUGUUCAGUUCUGGCUGAGAUCUAAACUUUGUAAUUUCCCUUUUAGCACUUGAUUUCUUAGCAAAAUGCUGGCAGUUUGUCAAAGCAUAAACAGCGUAACCUGGUGCAGCGUGCUGCCAGGAGUUACGGCAUCUCGUACUGGCAGGGACAUGAUCUCUGCAGGGAAGAGGGAGCAAGAGUCUUGGUUAGACUGGAUUUCUCAGGGAAGUAGUCUUACCUGCUCCGAUGAUCAGACCAACAAAUAACAUCAAUGCCCCGCUUCCAGUUAGGACAAAAAUCUCUUCUCUUAGGCAUGUAGUUACUUAUGUUGUGAGGUGAUGAUAGGUCAUGGGGAACUGUUUUCCUGUGUUCUCACUUGAAGAGAGAGGAAAAAAAAAAAAAGAAAACGGGGGAAAAAAAAAAAAAAAAAAAAAAACAACCAACCAACCAACAACCAAAAAAAAAAUCCUCUCUUUUUAUGUCAGUUUUCUUGUGUUAAAAGCUGCUUCAGUUGUGGAGUCAAGCACUCAAGUUAGGAAAAGCCAGAAUGAUGGUCAUCAGUGUAACCUCUUAAUGCAACCUCUUCCUGCAUAUUCAUUAGGAUGUUAUACUUAAUUACAGCACUUGAGUCUCUUUCCAGAUCUUUCUUAUAUUAGUAGAUAGAUAUAAGUAUGUAUUUGUGUGUGUUAGUAGGGUUUCCAGUUCCUUUGUAGAAACCUGAAGGCACACGUAGAAGAGAACAGCAGAAGAGGAUUGCUGGAAGAGAACAUCCUGUGGUUAAGGCAGGUGAAUGAGAGGAAUUCUCUUUUAUCCCAGUUCAUCUGCUUUUAUCCCUGUUUUGUGCAUGCUGCUGAGCAAGCCACUCCAACCAAAAUACCUUUCUGUGGCUACUGUCUGUGUUUCUCUCAUCUUCUGGACCCCUCAGGCCUAAUGUGCAAAAGUGAUGAGAACUCACAGGUGCAAAUGAAAUCAAUAGGAAGCAUGGUCAUUCAGCGUUUCGGGAAUUAAGGCAGAGCAGAUUGGAUAUCUGGACAUGGGGAGAAGGACAGUAAUUUCUGGGAGUCAGCCUUUCCUCUCCAAAGCCUUUCCAUCUGCAGCGUGGCCUCUGGCGUGCUGCUUUGUCUCGGUGUCUCUGUCAUGGAGAUGGUACAUCUUGCAGUAAAUGUAAGUUGCCUAAUGUCUGUGAGGCACUCCUGCUGAAAAGCACCCCAAAUAACACUGUGUGGAGUCUCUGCCUUGUAUGUGUAUAGCAGGUUUGGGAUAGUGUUGAGGAUAGAGUAUUGGUGCACAUGUACAAAACUAUGCCGCCCAUGUGCAUACACACAACACACAAGACAUCCCUAGAUGACUACACAUGUAUACAUUUAAAAAUCUAUACGUGUAUUUAAAGGUAUGUUUACAUACAUGUUAGGACAGCUUGGAAUAGCAACUACUUGGAUUGCCUUUACAAGCCCCCAAAACAGGGUGUAACUAAUUCUCUUUACUAGACAUUUUCUUUAGCAGAGUUGAUGGCUCCCAGUCAUCAACUGAAUACAGUGCUUACUGUUUUCAUUUUUAUGUAAUUAUCAGUGUAUUUUUAAAUUUGCUAGCCAACUAGGAAUUGGAUAAUAUUUUUAUCCAAUAAUAUAUAUAUAUUUUCCUGAAUAGAUAUUAUUCCUAAUUCAAGGGUUAAGGCAGAGAAUGUAUGCUGUGGUCGAGGUAGAUGCAUUGUCCCUUGUCCAUCUCUGUGUGAAGCUAUCAAACUAAGUAGUGGUGCCACUCCUUGGAUUACAGCUGGGAGUAUUUUCAAAUGGUUUUAAUUAACUUCAGGAAGGCAGGAUGGGACUCAGAUGGUAUUAAAGAAAAAUAAAUAGUUUUAGGAAUGCA
RNAcentral lists this long non-coding RNA (4443 nucleotides) under Anas platyrhynchos platyrhynchos (common mallard). RNAcentral's name for it is "lncRNA (ENSAPLG00000024393.1)". Lineage: Eukaryota; Metazoa; Chordata; Aves; Anseriformes; Anatidae. The record is from RNAcentral.